This 1478-nucleotide ribosomal RNA is filed under the name metagenome. RNAcentral's name for it is "bacterial SSU rRNA". It matches the Rfam family "Bacterial small subunit ribosomal RNA". The record is from RNAcentral.
GGCUCAGAACGAACGCUGGUGGCGUGGCUAAGACAUGCAGGUCGAACGGACUCGUUAAUUUAUUAGCGAGUUAGUGGCGAAAGGGUGAGUAAUGGAUAGGUAACGUACCCCGAGCUCUGGGAUAGCCAUCCGAAAGGAUGGGUAAUACCGGAUAACAUCACGGGUCGAUGGGCUCGUGAUCAAAGAUUCAUCGGCGCGGGAGCGGCCUAUCUCCUAUCAGCUAGUUGGUGAGGUAAUGGCCCACCAAGGCGAAGACGGGUAGCGGGACUGAGAGGUUGGCCCGCCACAUCGGAACUGAGGCACUGUCCGGACCCCCACGGGGGGCUGCAGUAACGAAUCUUGGGCAAUGGGCGAAAGCCUGACCCAGCGACGCCGCGUGCGGGAGGAAGUCCUUCGGGAUGUAAACCGCUGUCAGGGACGUGAAAGUCCACUUCGGAGGAUUGAUCUAACCCAGAGGAAGUCACGGCUAACUCUGUGCCAGCAGCCGCGGUAAGACAGAGGUGGCUAGCGUUGUUCGGUAUCACUGGGCUUAAAGCGUGUGUAGGCGGGAGCGUAAGCAUUUUGUGAAAUCCCCCGGCUCAACCGGGGCAUUGCUUGAUGUACUGCGUUCCUUGAGGCAAGUAGGGGUGCGAGGAACUCCUGGUGGAGCGGUGGAAUGCGUAGAUAUCAAGAGGAACGCCGAUGGUGAAGACAUUGCACUAGGCUUGUCCUGACGCUGAGACACGAAAGCGUGGGGAGCGAACGGGAUUAGAUACCCCGGUAGUCCACGCCGUAAACGAUGCCUACUAGAUUGUGGCGGUUCUGACGCCGGCACAGUCGAAGCCAAAGUGUUAAGUAGGCCGCCUGGGGAGUACGGUCGCAAGGCUAAAACUCAAAGGAAUUGACGGGGGCUCACACAAGCGGUGGAGCAUGUGGAUUAAUUCGAAGCAACGCGCAGAACCUUACCUGGGUUUGACAUGCUUGGAUGCCUUUCUGGAAACAGAGUAGGCUACCCUUCGGGGUGAAACUUGCACAGGUGCUGCAUGGCUGUCGUCAGCUCGUGUCGUGAGAUGUCGGGUUAAGUCCUAACGAGCGAAACCCUUGCCGUUAGUUGCCAGCGGGUCAUGCCGGGAACUCUAACGGGACUGCCUCGGUUAACGGGGAGGAAGGUGGGGAUGACGUCAAGUCAUCAUGGCCUUUAUGCCCAGGGCCUCACACGUGCUACAAUGGCUGGUACAAAGCGACGCGAGACCGCAAGGUGGAGCUAAUCGCAAAAAACCGGCCCCAGUUCGGAUUGUAGGCUGGCAACUCGCCUGCAUGAAGUUGGAAUCGCUAGUAAUCGCGGAUCAGCUAUGCCGCGGUGAAUGUGUUCCUGAGCCUUGUACACACCGCCCGUCAAGUGAUGGGAGUUGGAAGUACCCGAAGUCGGAUUGCUAACCCGCAAGGGAGGCGUCUGCCGACGGUAAGUCCGACGACUGGCACUAAGUCGUAACAAGGUA